UGGGGUGUAGCUCAGUAGUAGAGCACGUGCGUAAGAUGCCCGAGGGCCUUGGUUCAAUCCUAAGUGCCUCCA
Molecule: transfer RNA, 72 nt
Filed under: Camelus bactrianus (Bactrian camel)
Lineage: Eukaryota; Metazoa; Chordata; Mammalia; Artiodactyla; Camelidae
Also listed under: 2 other names
Rfam family: tRNA
About the family: Transfer RNA (tRNA) molecules are approximately 80 nucleotides in length. Their secondary structure includes four short double-helical elements and three loops (D, anti-codon, and T loops). Further hydrogen bonds mediate the characteristic L-shaped molecular structure. tRNAs have two regions of fundamental functional importance: the anti-codon, which is responsible for specific mRNA codon recognition, and the 3' end, to which the tRNAs corresponding amino acid is attached (by aminoacyl-tRNA synthetases). tRNAs cope with the degeneracy of the genetic code in two manners: having more than one tRNA (with a specific anti-codon) for a particular amino acid; and 'wobble' base-pairing, i.e. permitting non-standard base-pairing at the 3rd anti-codon position.
Source: Rfam by way of RNAcentral